ACAACUGAAGAGAAUUGAUGAUUUAAUCAUUAGAAAUAUGUUUAAUCGUUUCAUUUCAUUCAAUCACUUUGAAAAAAAAAUUAUUUUUUGACAAUAUAUUGAAUAUCUCAGAAAAUAAGAAAAAUAAUGAAAAAAUUCUUCUUUCUUCAAAUAAAAUAUUAAAUGAUAUUUAUUUUAUUAAUAUUAAAUAUUAAAUUUACAUUUAUUAUAUUGAUUAUUAUUUAAUAUAAUUGAUUAUAUUGAUAUUUAUAUAUCUUGAUGUAAUUUUUAAAAGAAUUGAGCCAUUAUAAAAAUUCUUCUCUCGAAUUGUUUUCCAAAACUUACCUUUGCCACUGUGAACAGGGACGUCUCUCCUUAAAACAAGUUACUUGUAUCACAUUAAAAAAAAGAGCACCAAGAGUAUUCGCGACUUCCGAAUUAAGAUUCUGCAAACAUCUACGGAACUUCGCAUCGCAGUCACAGUGAGAUCGUGUGAAAGGCGAGUUGUUGCAUAUACCAUGAAUGCACUUCUUAGGAGAUAUAGUGAUAGGACAAUGGUCGUGUUCUCUACAACAUGCAUCCUCGGCUGCAUGGUGUCCGAGAUCAUCGUACGAUUUCGCUAAAGUACCUGGGCCACACCAUUUUGUACCUGGAUAAAUCAAUCCACCUCCUGGAGGUUGAUUCUGUAACAAAGUGAAUUUAUUUUUUUAUAUUUUUAAUUUUAUAUUUUUAUUUUUAUAAUUUUUCAAGAUUUAUUUAAUACAUAAAUAACAGUGAAAUAUUUACUAUUAAAAAUUUUACUUAAUGAUGUAAUUAUCUUUGUACGAAGUUAUAUUCUACAUUAAGCGAAUUAAUUAUGAUCUUGCUUGAUAUCUAUAGUUUAACAUCUGAAAAGAUUAUUUAGUACCUUUCCCUUGUCUCGAGAGGCUUUACACGUUUCUUCCAAAUCUGCUACGAGAUUGCUUGACAUUUGACGGACUUUUUUUGGGUCAGCACCAAGAACCAUUUUUUGAAUAACACCACGAUCGGUGUACAAGGCACAGAAGGGCGCAUCCGCAUUUAAUUCCACCAUUCUUGACAUAGUGGUAUCUGCCACGAGAACACUAGCCUCAAUUUCACCCCCCCAGAGUGUUGGUAUAAGUAAUAGAAAUACUGCAAGCAUCUAUCAAUCAAAAUAAUUUUUACAAAAAAAUGAAAUAAACGUUUAAAGGAUAUUAAAUCAGAAUCAGUUUUAAAUUUUUCAUUAUUUUUAGCGUUAUAUAUUUUGGUAGAAGAAUCCUGUAUAUAAAUUAUAAAUAUGUAUAUUAUGAUUUAAUAUAUCACAGAAAUCGCAUAGAAAUUUAAAUUUUUUUUUAUUCAAAUUUAAAAAUAAUUUAACAAAAAUAAAUUAAACGUUCAUUGCUAUAAAUAUGUUCAUUCAUUGCUAUAAAUAUAUAUAUAUUUAUAAUAAUAAUAAUAACAAUUAUCGAAAAGAGAAUCAAAUAUCCUUAAAUAUUUAAUUUUACUAUUUCGUAAAACAAUGAAUGUAUAGUUGAUUUUCAAUAAAAAAAAAUCCUUUGCCUAAUCUUCCUGUCUUCUAAAAACUCAAAAUCAAACUUGUACAUAAACAUUUCCAAUGAGGAUAGUAGGUCGACAAUGCGCAAACAUUUCCUAACUUUUCUGUAAAUAUAUCGAA
This is a long non-coding RNA of Apis cerana (Asiatic honeybee), 1654 nucleotides long. RefSeq lists it as uncharacterized. The record is from RefSeq and is a predicted model, not a curated record. NCBI's taxonomy places the organism in Eukaryota, Metazoa, Arthropoda, Insecta, Hymenoptera, Apidae.